GAUGAACGCUAGCGGCAGGCUUAAUACAUGCAAGUCGUGGGGCAGCAGCUCUGUAGCAAUACAGAGGCUGGCGACCGGCAAACGGGUGCGGAACACGUACGCAACUUACCCAUAACUGGUGAAUAGCCCUCCGAAAGGAGGAUUAAUACAUCGUAACAUAAUGAGAUGGCAUCAUUUUAUUAUUAUAGCUCCGGCGGUUAUGGAUGGGCGUGCGGCUGAUUAGGUAGUUGGCGGAGUAAUAGCCCACCAAGCCUACGAUCAGUAACUGGUGUGAGAGCACGACCAGUCAC
Molecule: ribosomal RNA, 290 nt
Filed under: uncultured bacterium
Lineage: Bacteria
Description: partial 16S ribosomal RNA
Rfam family: Bacterial small subunit ribosomal RNA
Source: RNAcentral